Molecule: ribosomal RNA, 392 nt
Filed under: uncultured bacterium
Lineage: Bacteria
Description: bacterial SSU rRNA
Rfam family: Bacterial small subunit ribosomal RNA
Source: RNAcentral
GGAACAUACCCUAGAGUGGGGGAUAACGUAGCGAAAGUUACGCUAAUACCGCAUACGCACUAAGGUGGAAAGUGGGGGAUCUUCGGACCUCAUGCUCAUGGAGUGGCCGAUAUCUGAUUAGCUAGUUGGUGAGGUAAAGGCUCACCAAGGCGACGAUCAGUAGCUGGUUUGAGAGAACGACCAGCCACACUGGAACUGAGACACGGUCCAGACUCCUACGGGAGGCAGCAGUGGGGAAUUUUGGACAAUGGGGGCAACCCCUGAUCCAGCAAUGCCGCGUGAGUGAAGAAGGCCUUCGGGUUGUAAAGCUCUUUUGUCAGGGAAGAAACGGUGAGUUCUAAUAAAGCUUGCUAAUGACGGUACCUGAAGAAUAAGCACCGGCUAACUACGUG